CCCGGGUGGAGCUGGCUGAGUCGCGCGCUCUGCUCCACCCGACGGGGCUGUGUGUGCUGGGCCUGGCUCGCGGCGAACCGAGAUGGCAGAGCAGUCGGACGAGGCCGUGAAGUACUACACCCUAGAGGAGAUUCAGAAGCACAACCACAGCAAGAGCACCUGGCUGAUCCUGCACCACAAGGUGUACGAUUUGACCAAAUUUCUGGAAGAGCAUCCUGGUGGGGAAGAAGUUUUAAGGGAACAAGCUGGAGGUGACGCUACUGAGAACUUUGAGGAUGUCGGGCACUCUACAGAUGCCAGGGAAAUGUCCAAAACAUUCAUCAUUGGGGAGCUCCAUCCAGAUGACAGACCAAAGUUAAACAAGCCUCCGGUAAGUGUGACCAUCUCAAGUAUCUCUGGAUGUUCUCGUUGUAUUUAAUACUUGUCAAACUGAAGGCAGAGGGUUUUUAUUUACCUGACUGAUGCCAGCACAGGUCUUUCUAGAUAAAUGAAUAUGUAACCUACUGGCUCAGCAAGUAUUUUUUAUUUACGGAAACCUGUCAGUAUGAUUUGUUAGGAUGGCGUGUGUGUAAUUUUUUUAAGGCUGUCAGUAAACUACUUUUUUCAUCAUAAUUAUCAAUAUAUACCGUUUGAAGAGCUACUUUUUAUGGUAGCACGUGCUUCUGAUCUAAAAGAUUUGACACAAGCCUUAUUUUCAGAGAACUUAAAAUCUGAAUGGAUAGUGGUUUUAUUACUUAAAUCUUUAAGGGUGUGUCUCAUGUCUUCUUCAUCUUUAAGUCUCUUGGGCAUAGUAGGUGUUCAAUAAAUACUUGUCAGAUGAAUUUAAUGAAAUUAAAUAAUACCCUUUUGACUUACUUUUCCUUGGGAAAGGAAAAUAACUCUGGCAAUACUAGUUUUAUGUUCUGAUUCACUAGCCUUUCUCUCUGAACUGACCAUCUCACUUAUAUUUGAAGAUAAAUGUAGGGUGAGAAUGGAAGAGCACAGCCUAAGUUCCUGAAAAGUACAAGUAGGCAAAAUAGUUUCUAGUGUCUAAUUAAAGGACUACAGGGGAAAGUUUUGCUUAAAUCAAAUGACAAAAAAGAAAGUAUAAUUUUUCGUUUUGGUGUAAAUUCUUGGUUUCAUUAGAGAAAGUGCAACAGCAAGACCCCACUGAGCUUGUGUCGAGAACUGGUAAGCUGAUUUUUUGAGCUGUUGCUGCCAAGACAUCGUCUUUAAUCUACAAAAGGAUCAAAGCAGUUAAUCCAAUAAUAUAAGCAUAAAGGCCACAUUUACCUCAACAUCCCUGAUAGUACAAUAAAAGUCUUGUGUAAUACUGUUUAGUACAAAGCAAUUUUAUUUAUAUUCUCUCCUUAUUCAAGAAAGACUUAAGUUCAAUGUGAAUGAUAUGAGUACUUCCAGAAGAUAAAAAGUUGACUUCAGAAUUUCAAUGGCCUCUGUGACAAUUGCUUAGAAUCCUUGCUGUGAGUUCAUUUGACUUUAGCAUCUUUUUUGAGGCUACUUUUUGGACAGCUGAAAUUCUGUGAUGCAUAAAGUUUUUCCUUUUUCUCUGAAGUCUCUUAAGGGAAGAAUAUAUAUUUUUUUUAUCAUGUGUUCAGCAUGUUAAUCAUUUUGGUAUAAGUCAUUUAGCUAUAGCAAAACAAAGGUUUAAGAUUCAUUAGAUGAACUUAGAUGACCGCAGGGCCAGCCGUCUCCCUAACCAUAAAGACUACAAGCAGAAAACACUUGUAGGUGGAAGAUUGUACACGUGUCUCCUGCCAUAACUACUUUCAGUUUAAAGGACAAAGACUUUCUUCCUUAUUUGCUUUUAGAACACGUGUAUUACAGCCUAUACUCUGUUGGAUUAAUUGCCCAUUACUAUUUAUUGCUCUUAUUUUCUAUUUUAAAGUGGCAGUUACUUUGAUACUGAGAAUAUUUUGGGAACAGAGCAAGUUUAUGUGGUAAAUUCUGGGACUUUAGCUUUUAGUAUCAAAGAAAACUUUCCUGACAACAUUGAGUGACAGCCCUUUGUGUGUUAAGACAUGGCUUACUUCAUUCCAGCAUUAGCAGUUGAUACUUGUUCAGCUUGUUAGAUGUAGAAGGUCUCACUGAAGUUUGAGAAUCACACUAACUUUUUAAAGUAGAUUUUUGUUUGUUUGUUUUUGAGACGGAAUUUUGCUCUUGUCACCCAGGCUGGAGUGCAAUGGCGUGAUCUCGGCUCACUGCAACAUCCACCUGCUGGGUUCAAGCAAUUCUCCUGCCUCAGCCUCCCGAGUAGCUGGGAUUACAGGUGCCUGCCACCAUGCCCAGCUAAUUUUUGUAUUUUUAGUAGAGAUGGGGUUUCACCAUGUUGGCCAGGCUUGUCUUGAACUCCUGACCUCAGGCAUUCGCCUGCUUCAGCCUCCCAAAAUGCCGAGAUUACAGGCGUGAGCCACGGCACCCCGCCUAAAGUAGAUGUUUUUACUCUCUUCAGAGAUUUUACAGAUUAACUAACUUCUGAGUAUUUUUUAAACAACUCUUCUUUAUUGUGACUUUGCUUCAGUGAGAGCAGAACCGGAAGAAUGUGGGACAAGAACUUGCUGGCCUUUUUGAGAGGCCAUAAGCAGAUGAAAUGAAAGGAAAUACAUGAGCAUUUUUCUGGAUGUAUCUUUCUUGUGCUUUUGGUUUAGUGGAAGUAAAGAGUGUCCUUAGGGAUUUCUUUUGUCAUGUGUCUGUAUAACCAUCGGCCGAUCUCCAGGUUGAAGAAUGUACACUGUGGUCUGAAGUUUUGAGAUGUUGCCUGCUUAAAAUAUCUAGUUGAAUAGUGAAAUAAAAUGCAGUAAAGAUUAUUAGCUUGAACCUGCCCUGAGGAAAGCAUAGUGUUAAGUUACCAAAUUAAGAUAUUUGUAGACUUAGAAAUCAUGCAUUUUAAUCUAACAUAAAUGUUUCUAUCACAUUUGCUUACAUAGAGAAUAUUAGUCGUAGCAAUACCCCGUCUUGGUUAUAGUUUUGAAAGCAUUCUUGUAGAAGUUAUUUGGUCCUCACAGUGUCUCCAUGUUAGACCUGCCAAGGGAGGUAGGUACAUUGCAGCUGGGAAGUGUUAAGCACCCGGCUCACAGACAUGCUCCAGAACCAUCUAGCACCCAUCUCAGGCUGGUCAGUUGCAGUCCCUUAAGCUUCUCCUCUAGGUUCUGGGCUUGCCGUGUUAGACAUCACUCUGUCAGUAUUUUAAGGGAGAUAGGCUUCCCACUAAAGUUUACAUUAGAUGAACUUAUAAAUGAGAUGACUCUGAUUCACAAAAGCUUGUUGGGCUUUGCAUGCUUUUCAUAAUUUAUGGAGCUUACUGUAAUUUACACUGAUUCACAUGACUUUUAUAAGUCAUUAUGCAUGACAUACUUACUUUACUUUUUUGAGACGGGGUCUCACUCUGUUGCCCAGGCUGCAGUGCAGUGGCAUGGAUCUGGACUCACUGCAACAUCCACCUCCCGGGGUCAAGCAAUCCUCCCACCUCAGCCUCCCGAGUAGCUGGACCAUAGGCACACAGCACUGUGCCCAGCUAAUUUUUGUAUUUUUCUGUAGAGACAGGGUUUCGCCAUGUUGCCCAGACUGGUCUCGAACUGCUGGACUCAAGCAACCCGCCAAUCUCGGCCUCCCAAAGUGCUGGGAUUACAGGCCUGAGCCACCAUGCCCAGACUUUGACACACUGAUUUAAUUGUUAACCUCUUUUUACUGAAGUUGAACCUCGAAGUCAUGGAGUGAACAGGUGGCAGAGCCAAUCAUAAAAACCAUAUUCUUUCUCCUUGUUCAUUGCUGACAUUCUUUGAUAGUCACGUCCCUAAACCUAAGUGAGGCCCUCAGAGCACUGACCACUAAAGACCAAUUACUUUUUCGUCAAAGUGCAAAGUGGUAAUUCAAACUUCCUUUAACUGUCAAGCAUCCUGGGCUACAGAGCCAAGAAGAUAAUCAACAAUCAAAAGGUGAUACGAUUAUUUCAAGUUCCCCUCUUUAGAGUUCAUGGCUGUUGCUGAUGAUGCUGGUGCCAGAGUAGUGUUUUAACCUUAGCGCUCUCCCAUGGUAACCACAAAGGCAGCAGGAGGGCAGGUGGGAGGUUCCAGAGUUGUCAGCACGUUGGUGAAAUGCCUGCCCUCAUUUUAACGACGCCGUGGAUGUUUGUAUUUGCCUUCCGUUGGCUGUUUCAAACUUAACUUUCUAGUUUGACAAUCAUAUUUUACCUUCAGUGAUUCUUUUGUUUCAGAACUGAUUGUGUCCUCUAAUAGCUAACUAAUAUUUUUGUAUAUUUUGAUUAUUUCUAGUAAUUUUUGUUAAUUUUAUUCAUAUAUACACAAUUUGGAAAAUCCUCUUGCUGUAGUUAUGAAUACUUUUUAUAGAAGCUAAGAUUUUAAAAUUGCUGGAAUAGAUAAUAAAUUUGCAAUUUUAUUUUUAAAUGACUUACCUUUUCUCCCCUACUGUGUCAGGAACCUUAAAGGCGAUGUUUCAAGGUUGGUGGGUCUCAUAACUGCUUUGCUGGCUUUUCCCUGAAAGGGGUCUGUCUUUUCACGGGAGUUUCUCUAACGUGCUUUGCAGAGUGAUGCUUGCCUUACUGCAGCCCGCUGAUUGUUUUGCUAAUGCUUUUUAUCUUUGCUUUGGGAAACUGCAGAUCUGAAGCUGUCUUAUUUAUGGCAACUUCUGUUUGAGGCCCUAAUGCUUCUGUUGGUGUGGAACAUCAAAAGAAUGCUUCUUAACCCAUUUUCAAGCCCCAAAAAGUUUAUAUUUCACUAGACCUUAGCUUUUCAGCUGUUUGGAGAAGUAUGCGUUUUUCCAGAACCAUUGUCCAUUCACUUUAGUGCUACUCAAAAGAGUUGCUCCCAGAAAGCUCUGGAGGAUAAAAACAGGGCUUCCUUAUCUGGGGAUUUGCUGUUAGGCUGACAGUGACCAGCUGGUGACAAGUGUGACGCCGGGCACAGCAGUCCUGUGACGCUGGUCUGGUGUCUUGCUGGUUCCGUCUGGUCAGAAUUAAAGCAGCCCCCCGGGAAAGUUGGCCUAGAAUGUAGAACUUAAAAUGGCAGUCCUCUUUUUUCUUUUUGGUUCACAUAUAUUUAAUGUAAUUUAGGUACACUUUUUUACAUCUGUCAGAUUUGAAUGAAAUAACUGAUGUUUUUAUUGAACAUUGUGUUCAUGCUUUUGAAGAAUUAAACUGCUUUUUCUAAAGGUGACGUGGGAUUGUGUGUAUGUGAACAUCAAUGUCUGUUUUCAGUUUCUGCAUUAUUUAGAUGCCUAGCGUGUGCAAGAUAUUUUAUGUAGCAUAUUAAUUUUGAAUGUUUUUAAAUUAUUGAGGUUAUGUCCUUAAGUAAAUAUAAUGAUUAAAAUGUUUUAUUCUGGAAGAAAACAAAGUUAGGCAUUUUAGUGAAAAGAAGUUUAUAAUUUUCCCUUUCGACAUCUUCUGAAGAAUGCAUUGCAUAAAAUAUUGUGUUCUUAUUUUCAAACAGGAUUUUAGUCAAUGAAAUAAGUUCAGCAUUCCCUUGAACUUACUUUACUUUUUCCUCUCGUGUUUCAGGAAACUCUUAUCACUACUAUUGAUUCUAGUUCCAGUUGGUGGACCAACUGGGUGAUCCCUGCCAUCUCUGCAGUGGCCGUCGCCUUGAUGUAUCGCCUGUACAUGGCGGAGGACUGAACACCUCCUCAGAAGUCAGCGCAGGAAAAGCCUGCUUUGGACACGGGAAAAAAGAAGCCAUUGCUAACUACUUCAACUGACAGAAACCUUCACUUGAAAACAAUGAUUUUAAUAUAUCUCUUUCUCUUUCUUCCGACAUUAGAAACACAACAAAAAGAACUGUCCUUUCUGCGCUUGAAUUUUUCGAGUGUGCCUUUUUAUUCAUCUACUUUAUUUUGAUGUUUCCUUAAUGUGUAAUUUACUUAUUAUAAGCAUGAUCUUUUAAAAAUAUAUUUGGCUUUUAAAGU
This 5913-nucleotide small RNA is filed under the name Pan troglodytes (chimpanzee). RNAcentral's name for it is "retained intron". Lineage: Eukaryota; Metazoa; Chordata; Mammalia; Primates; Hominidae. The record is from RNAcentral.